CACCACUGCACUCCAGCCUGGCAAACAGAGGGAGACUCUGUCUCAAAAGAAAAAAAGAAAAAGAAAGUUGAGGCUUCCUGAAGCUACACACCACACACCCCCAUCCACCACCCAGCGAGUGGUAGAGUCCUGCAGCUCAGCAGACCACCUCCUCAACAAAACCUGUGUUUGCUUUCUUCUGGCACAGAGGGACUGAAUCAAGGUCAGGUUCAGACCCAGCCUCUGAGGAGGGACCUGAACUGGCCUGGGGAGCUACACCUUGGGGGCUUUCUCAGGAUCCAGCAGAGAAGCCUCCAGCACCAGCCUGGGGAUGGAGCUGCAGCGACGAGGACCGGGAGGCUGGAAUACCCGCCUCACUCCCAGCCCGGCUCAGCCCAGCCCAGAAAGGGCCCAGCCCUGUGAUUGGUCCUUGGGUCCCUGUUGCCAGGAAUUGAGUCCAAGAAAAUGAGAAGGAAGGGAGUGCGUAGGUCCAGUGAGGACGGAGGUGAAAUUUAUAUCUCUGCCAGAGCCUGGGUGCCUGCACCGCCAUGGACACCACCAGGUACAGCAAGUGGGGGGGCAGCUCGGAGGAGGUCCCUGGAGGUAUGAGCAAUGAGACUGCCUCAUCCCUGCCCCAGUGUCUGGGGUUUGAUGGGGGAGGGGAGGGAAGAGCCAAGACGGGCCAGGGUCGUGGGUGCAGGAGAGACACCACAGGCCACAGAGCCAGUUGGACCAGGGUCCAAUUCCCACUCUGCCACUUAGAAGCUGUGUGACCACAGGCAAGUUACUUAACUUCUCUGAAUCUCAGUUUCCUGGGAGGAACCCAGGCCUCCAGGGCUCAGUCCUAGGGGACCCAGCAUGCCGUCCUUGUUCUGUCAGGGCACUGGGGACGCUGGGUGCACUGGAGCCGGAGACCCCUCUUCCUGGCCCUGGCUGUCCUGGUCGCCACAGUCCUGUGGGCUGUGAUCCUGAGUAUCCUAUUGUCCAAGGCCUCCACGGAGCGCGCGGCGCUGCUCGGCUGCCAGGACCUGCUGAGGACAAACGGUGCUUGCAGAGCGGGACGCCUGGGCCCCCGGGCCGUGCGGGGCGGGAGCGUCUGAGAUCGCGGAGAUGGAGUCUCGGCUGCUCUUAG
RNAcentral lists this long non-coding RNA (1111 nucleotides) under Rhinopithecus bieti (black snub-nosed monkey). RNAcentral describes it as "lncRNA (ENSRBIG00000046804.1)". Lineage: Eukaryota; Metazoa; Chordata; Mammalia; Primates; Cercopithecidae. The record is from RNAcentral.